GACGAACGCUGGCGGCGUGCUUAACACAUGCAAGUCGUACGGUAAGGCCCUUUCGGGGGUCCACGAGUGGCGAACGGGUGAGUAACACGUGAGUAACCUGCCCACAACUUUGGGAUAACGCUAGGAAACUGGUGCUAAUACUGGAUAUGUGCUCCUGCUGCAUGGUGGGGGUUGGAAAGCUCCGGCGGUUGUGGAUGGACUCGCGGCCUAUCAGCUUGUUGGUGGGGUAGUGGCCUACCAAGGCGGCGACGGGUAGCCGGCCUGAGAGGGUGACCGGCCACAUUGGGACUGAGAUACGGCCCAGACUCCUACGGGAGGCAGCAGUGGGGAAUAUUGCACAAUGGGCGCAAGCCUGAUGCAGCAACGCCGCGUGCGGGAUGACGGCCUUCGGGUUGUAAACCGCUAUCAGCAGGGACGAAGCUUUUUGUGACGGUACCUGCAGAAGAAGCACCGGCUAACUACGUG
This 465-nucleotide ribosomal RNA is filed under the name uncultured bacterium. RNAcentral describes it as "partial 16S ribosomal RNA". It matches the Rfam family "Bacterial small subunit ribosomal RNA", at positions 28 to 507 of the family's 1533-position model. The record is from RNAcentral.